GACGAACCGUCCUAACGUUGUUCGGAAUCACUGGGCUUAAAGGGCGCGUAGGCGGCUUGCCAAGUCAGGGGUGAAAUCCUGCAGCUUAACUGUAGAAGGGCCUUUGAUACUGGCGAGCUCGAGGGAGGUAGGGGUAUGUGGAACUUCCGGUGGAGCGGCGAAAUGCGUUGAUAUCGAUAGGAACUCCGGUGGCGAAGGCGGCAUACUGGACCACAUCUGACGCUGAGGCGCGAAAGCCAGGGGAGCAAACGGG
Molecule: ribosomal RNA, 253 nt
Filed under: uncultured bacterium
Lineage: Bacteria
Description: partial 16S ribosomal RNA
Rfam family: Bacterial small subunit ribosomal RNA
Source: RNAcentral